UAGGGAAUCUUCGGCAAUGGGGGGAACCCUGACCGAGCAAUGCCGCGUGAGUGAAGAAGGUUUUCGGAUCGUAAAGCUCUGUUGUAAGAGAAGAACGUGUGUGAGAGUGGAAAGUUCACACAGUGACGGUAACUUACCAGAAAGGGACGGCUAACUACGUGCAAGCAGCCGCGGUAAUACGUAGGUCCCGAGCGUUGUCCGGAUUUAUUGGGCGAAAAGCGAGCGCAGGUGGUUUUAUAAGUCUGAAGUAAAAUGCAGUGGCUCAACCAUUGUGUGCUUUGGAAACUGUACAACUUGAGUGCAGAAGGGGAGAGUGGAAUUCCAUGUGUAGCGGUGAAAUGCGUAGAUAUAUGGAGGAACACCGGUGGCGAAAGCGGCUCUCUGGUCUGUAACUGACACUGAGGCUCGAAAGCGUGGGGAGCAAACA
Molecule: ribosomal RNA, 427 nt
Filed under: uncultured prokaryote
Description: bacterial SSU rRNA
Rfam family: Bacterial small subunit ribosomal RNA
Source: RNAcentral